This 693-nucleotide small RNA is filed under the name Pan troglodytes (chimpanzee). RNAcentral's name for it is "retained intron". Lineage: Eukaryota; Metazoa; Chordata; Mammalia; Primates; Hominidae. The record is from RNAcentral.
UCAACCUACCAUGGUUGUGUUCUUUAAUUCUUCCUAAUUACCUUUAGCCCAGCAGAAUUAAUUAACUCCUGUGGGUCUGAAAUCUUAUGGUUAGGUCAGAUUUUCAAUACAAGUUUGUCGGGGUAUCAUUUUUUCAGAACUAAAUUUCGGGUAGGUAUGCAACCUCAGCACGAAUUUUAUGGUUUUGAGUUUGUUUCCUCCAUGCUGCUUCCUUGUGGAGUGAUAUUGUCUUUUGUCUCUAGUUCUCCCGAAGAUGACUCGGAUACAAAAAGGCUUUCCAAAGAGGAAAAGGGUCGCAGCAGUUGUGGUAGAAAUUUCUGGGUUAGUGGACUCUCUUCUACAACCAGAGCUACAGAUUUGAAGAAUCUUUUCAGCAAAUAUGGGAAGGUGGUGGGCGCCAAGGUUGUGACAAAUGCCCGGAGUCCUGGAGCUCGCUGUUACGGUUUUGUCACGAUGUCCACAGCAGAAGAGGCCACAAAAUGCAUUAACCACCUGCACAAGACGGAGCUCCACGGAAAGAUGAUCUCCGUGGAGAAAGUGAGUGGCCGUUUUCUUCCCAGGAUAUAGCCCACAUUAGGAAAUGAGGGUAAUACUUGAUUCUCUUUUUCAGGCCAAAAAUGAACCUGUGGGAAAGAAAACCUCUGACAAAAGAGACAGUGACGGGAAAAAGGAGAAGUCGAGCAACAGUGAGAG